Molecule: transfer RNA, 61 nt
Filed under: chicken gut metagenome
Rfam family: tRNA
About the family: Transfer RNA (tRNA) molecules are approximately 80 nucleotides in length.
Source: RNAcentral
AGUAGCUCAGUGGUGGAGCACUCGGCUGUUAACCGAUAGGCCGUAGGUUCGAAUCCUACCU